GCCAGACUCCUACGGGAGGCAGCAGUGGGGAAUAUUGCACAAUGGGGGAAACCCUGAUGCAGCGACGCCGCGUGAGUGAAGAAGUAUUUCGGUAUGUAAAGCUCUCUCAGCAGGGAAGAAAAUGACGGUACCUGAUUAAGAAGCCCCGGCUAACUACGUGCCAGCAGCCGCGGUAAUACGUAGGGGGCAAGCGUUAUCCGGAUUUACUGGGUGUAAAGGGAGCGUAGACGGUGAUGCAAGUCAGAAGUGAAAGCCCGGGGCUCAACUCCGGGACUGCUUUUGAAACUGUGUGACUGGAGUGCAGGAGAGGUAAGCGGAAUUCCUAGUGUAGCGGUGAAAUGCGUAGAUAUUAGGAGGAACACCAGUGGCGAAGGCGGCUUUCUGGACGACAACUGACGCUGAGGCGCGAAAGUGUGGGGAGCAAACAGGAUUAGAUACCCGAGUAAG
This 447-nucleotide ribosomal RNA is filed under the name uncultured bacterium. RNAcentral describes it as "bacterial SSU rRNA". It matches the Rfam family "Bacterial small subunit ribosomal RNA", at positions 330 to 793 of the family's 1533-position model. The record is from RNAcentral.